UACAGAGGGUGCAAGCGUUAAUCGGAAUUACUGGGCGUAAAGCGUGCGUAGGUGGUUUGUUAAGUCAGGUGUGAAAUCCCCGGGCUCAACCUGGGAACUGCGCUUGAUACUGGCAGACUAGAGUGUGGUAGAGGGUAGUGGAAUUCCCGGUGUAGCGGUGAAAUGCGUAGAUAUCGGGAAGAACAUCAGUGGCGAAGGCGGCUACCUGGACCAACACUGACACUGAGGCACGAAAGCGUGGGGAGCAAACAGG
This 253-nucleotide ribosomal RNA is filed under the name uncultured bacterium. Its description in RNAcentral is "partial 16S ribosomal RNA". It matches the Rfam family "Bacterial small subunit ribosomal RNA", at positions 524 to 776 of the family's 1533-position model. The record is from RNAcentral.